CUCCGUUGGAUCCUGCCGGACCCGACUGCUAUCAGAGUGAGAUUAAGCCAUGCGAGUUAACGUAGCAAUACGUGGCGCACGGCUCAGUAACACGUAGUCAACAUGCCCAGAGGACGUGGAUAACCUCGGGAAACUGAGUCUAAACCGCGAUAAGUGAGGAUUUCUGGAAUGGUUCCUGACUAAAAUCUAUAUGGCCUCUGGAUUGGACUGCGGCCGAUCAGGCUGUUGGUGAGGUAAUGGCCCACCAAACCUGUAACCGGUACGGGCUCUGAGAGGAGGAGCCCGGAGAUGGGCACUGAGACAAGGGCCCAGGCCCUAUGGGGCGCAGCAGGCGCGAAACCUCUGCAAUAGGCGAAAGCUUGACAGGGUUACUCUGAGUGAUUUCCGUUAAGGAGAUCUUUUGGCACCUCUAAAAAUGGUGCAGAAUAAGGGGUGGGCAAGUCUGGUGUCAGCCGCCGCGGUAAUACCAGCACCCCGAGUGGUCGGGACGAUUAUUGGGCCUAAAGCAUCCGUAGCCGGUUCUGCAAGUCUUCCGUUAAAUCCAGCCGCUCAACGGAUGGGCCGCGGAGGAUACUACAGGACUAGGAGGCGGGAGAGGCAAGCGGUACUCAGUGGGUAGGGGUAAAAUCCUUUGAUCCAUUGAAGACCACCAGUGGCGAAGGCGGCUUGCCAGAACGCGCUCGACGGUGAGGGAUGAAAGCUGGGGGAGCAAACCGGAUUAGAUACCCGGGUAGUCCCAGCUGUAAACGAUGCAGACUCGGUGAUGGGUUGGCUUCGCGCUAACCCAGUGCCGCAGGGAAGCCGUUAAGUCUGCCGCCUGGGGAGUACGGUCGCAAGACUGAAACUUAAAGGAAUUGGCGGGGGAGCA
This 868-nucleotide ribosomal RNA is filed under the name uncultured archaeon. Its description in RNAcentral is "bacterial SSU rRNA". It matches the Rfam family "Archaeal small subunit ribosomal RNA", at positions 1 to 878 of the family's 1478-position model. The record is from RNAcentral.